UGGGGAUAUGGCGGAAUUGGUAGACGCUACAGACUUAAAAUUUGUUGGCGCAUUCGCGCUGUGAGGGUUCAAGUCCCUCUAUCCCCAA
This 88-nucleotide transfer RNA is filed under the name Pseudochlorodesmis sp. HV01306a. RNAcentral describes it as "tRNA-Leu". It matches the Rfam family "tRNA". From Rfam's summary of the family: Transfer RNA (tRNA) molecules are approximately 80 nucleotides in length. Their secondary structure includes four short double-helical elements and three loops (D, anti-codon, and T loops). The record is from RNAcentral. Lineage: Eukaryota; Viridiplantae; Chlorophyta; Ulvophyceae; Bryopsidales; Bryopsidaceae.